RNAcentral lists this ribosomal RNA (301 nucleotides) under uncultured bacterium. RNAcentral's name for it is "partial 16S ribosomal RNA". It matches the Rfam family "Bacterial small subunit ribosomal RNA", at positions 509 to 807 of the family's 1533-position model. The record is from RNAcentral.
CAGUCGCCGCGGUAAUACAGAGGGUGCGAGCGUUAAUCGGAUUUACUGGGCGUAAAGCGUGCGUAGGCGGCUUCUUAAGUCGGAUGUGAAAUCCCUGAGCUUAACUUAGGAAUUGCAUUCGAUACUGGGAAGCUAGAGUAUGGGAGAGGAUGGUAGAAUUCCAGGUGUAGCGGUGAAAUGCGUAGAGAUCUGGAGGAAUACCGAUGGCGAAGGCAGCCAUCUGGCCUAAUACUGACGCUGAGGUACGAAAGCAUGGGGAGCAAACAGGAUUAGAGACCCCCGUAGUCCCUGUCUAUUAUAC